Molecule: long non-coding RNA, 974 nt
Filed under: Olea europaea subsp. europaea
Lineage: Eukaryota; Viridiplantae; Streptophyta; Magnoliopsida; Lamiales; Oleaceae
Source: RNAcentral
AAGGAGUGUGCACGUAUGAAUAUGGAAGAAUAUUAACUACUAAACACAUUACUAAUGGGAUUUCACCGAACAUGCUACUUCAGGGAAAUUAGUGGAUUGGUUAAGUGAAAAAAUAAUAUUAAUGUGGUGAUGUUUAUUAUCAACUAAUGUAAUUUAUAUUGACGAUAUUUUGUGGAAAUCUAAAUCCUUUGUCAGUUGUUCUUGGCUUAUGAGUUCAUAGCUCAUAUGUAAAGUGUAGACUCAAAUCUUUUGGAAAAAAAUGUGUAUAUAUGGAGACAGAGACUUAUUAAAGGGGAAAUAAUGGGUGACAUGUACAAAUUGAUAGCAAAAAAUUAGUGUAAAAUUUUGGUACAUUUAGGCAUUAGAUAAUAAACUUAGCUGCAUAAAAUGGCCUAUGCUCAAUUUGGAAUGCUAAACUAGCUUAUCUAAUCAUUCUUAUAUAGCUUCCCUCCAUUUUACGUUUACAAGCAGAAUUCUGAAAUGGAAAAAUAAUCAUACUGCUUCUUUAUUUGAACAUAAAAUUUCCACCAUGAACGAUGUCAGUGUUUUGGUAGGCUUUGAAGUUUACCUUGUUGGAGGAUGUGUAAGGGACCUGAUCUUAAGACGAACUGAUGGGAACCUAGUCAGCAAGGUUGCAAUCGAACCCACAGGAAUUGACACCGGAUCCCAAGAAUGGCCAAAUACGACCAAGGUUUAGGAUUUAAUUCCCAAACGUUGAACCAAGCAACCGAAGGUAUAUUAAACUAACGACCUCUUGAUCACAAAGUCUCGUAAUCUCACCCGAAUUUUGGACUUAAACCAAUAAAAUUAUAAACCAAAAAACCUAGCAAGAACGAUGCUUGAAAGACCUCUUGAUUACAUAACCCAAAGAUCCAACCCGAUGUUUCUGUUUGAGCGCCACAAGAUAUUAAAUUUUGAUAAGUUCGAUAAUUUGAAGCAAAAGUUUUGAGAGAAAAUAUCUUAUUCAAUUCACG